GUAGUAGAAAAUAUUAUUGGUUUAGCAGUUAUUUUUUAAUUAUUUUAUUAUAUCAUUAAUUUUUAGGUGGAAUUUAUAAUUUUUGUUUAUUUAUUUAUUUUUAAAAGAAGCUGUGAAAUUUAUAAUAAAAACGAGGAUUAGAUACCCUUUUAUUUUAAAUGUAAAUAUAAACCUGGGUAGUAAUAGUUAUGUUCUUGAAACUCAAAGGAUUUGGCGGUAUUUUAGCCUCUUUAGAGGAACCUGUCCCUUAAUCGAUAGUCCACGAUUUGAUUUACUUAUUUUUGUUUUCAGUUUGUAUACCUCCGUCAUAAGAAUAUCUUUUUAGAGUAAAUUUUCUUUUUAUUAUAAAUAUAAUAUGUCAGGUCAAGGUGCAGUUUAUGGAUAAGUGGAGGUGGGUUACAAUAAAAUUAUUUAUACGGAUUAGGAUUUUUAAAUUGUUUUAUGAAGGUGGAUUUAAUGGUAAUUUUAAUUUUUUAUUAAAUUGACCAGAGCUCUAAAAUAUGCCACAUCGCCCGUCGCUCUCAUUAUUAAAAUGAGAUAAGUCGUAACAUAGUAGGUGUAUCGGAAGAUGUACCUAGUUGG
Molecule: ribosomal RNA, 582 nt
Filed under: Epiophlebia superstes
Lineage: Eukaryota; Metazoa; Arthropoda; Insecta; Odonata; Epiophlebiidae
Description: partial 12S ribosomal RNA
Source: RNAcentral